Molecule: ribosomal RNA, 258 nt
Filed under: uncultured Polaromonas sp.
Lineage: Bacteria; Pseudomonadati; Pseudomonadota; Betaproteobacteria; Burkholderiales; Comamonadaceae
Description: partial 16S ribosomal RNA
Rfam family: Bacterial small subunit ribosomal RNA
Source: RNAcentral
AUUUAGUUGGGCUACUCUAGAGAGACUGCCGGUGAUAAACCGGAGGAAGUGGGGACGACGUCAAGUCCUCAUGGCCUUUAUGCCUAGGGCUACACACGUGCUACAAUGGAUCGUACAAAGGGUCGCGAACCCGCGAGGGGGAGCCAAUCCCAAAAAGCCAUUCGUAGUCCGGAUCGCAGUCUGCAACUCGACUGCGUGAAGUCGGAAUCGCUAGUAAUCGUGGAUCAGAAUGUCACGGUGAAUACGUUCCCGGGUCUU